This 87-nucleotide transfer RNA is filed under the name Clostridiaceae bacterium. RNAcentral's name for it is "tRNA-Ser". It matches the Rfam family "tRNA". From Rfam's summary of the family: Transfer RNA (tRNA) molecules are approximately 80 nucleotides in length. Their secondary structure includes four short double-helical elements and three loops (D, anti-codon, and T loops). Lineage: Bacteria; Bacillati; Bacillota; Clostridia; Eubacteriales; Clostridiaceae. The record is from RNAcentral.
GGAGAGGUGUCCGAGUGGUUUAAGGAGCUGGUCUUGAAAACCAGUGACCCGAAAGGGCCAAGAGUUCGAAUCUCUUCCUCUCCGCCA